GCCUGCUAUAGAUGUGGGCAGGAGGGACAUUAUGCACGAGAAUGUCCUCAGGCGACUUUGGUUGCACCAUCCCAGCAGAUGACCUCAGGUAGUGUCGUCCAGUCAGCAGCUUCAGCUCGUCCACCAAGCAGUGGCAGAGGUAGAGGAAGAGGGGUAGCCUCUUCAUCAGGGAUGGGUUCCCGAGGUGCAGGUCCGUCAGCUCCAGCACGGAUUUUCACCAUGACGCAACAGGAGGCAGACACUUCGAACACAGUGGUGUCAGGUAAUCUCAUCAUUGGGUGUUUAGAGGUGUAUGCUUUGAUGGACCCCGGUGCUUCUCACUCUUUCAUUUCUUCUAG
This 338-nucleotide long non-coding RNA is filed under the name Manihot esculenta (cassava). Its description in RNAcentral is "long non-coding RNA (MESC_LNC002051)". The record is from RNAcentral. Lineage: Eukaryota; Viridiplantae; Streptophyta; Magnoliopsida; Malpighiales; Euphorbiaceae.